Molecule: transfer-messenger RNA, 362 nt
Filed under: Marinospirillum celere
Lineage: Bacteria; Pseudomonadati; Pseudomonadota; Gammaproteobacteria; Oceanospirillales; Oceanospirillaceae
Description: Standard tmRNA
Rfam family: transfer-messenger RNA
About the family: Bacterial tmRNA, also known as 10Sa RNA or SsrA, is named for its dual tRNA and mRNA-like properties. Its role is to liberate the mRNA from a stalled ribosome. To accomplish this part of the tmRNA is used as a reading frame that ends in a translation stop signal.
Source: Rfam by way of RNAcentral
GGGGACGUCCUGGCUUCGACGCCGGUAGCGAAACCUGAGGUGCAUGCCGAGAGUGAAGUGGCUCUCGUAAAUCAAUCGCUUCAACGUUAUAGUCGCAAACGACGACUCUUACGCUCUAGCCGCUUGAGGCUACUCAUGAAACCAUGUUGCCUAUCGCAGGCGGAUUGAGAUUAUUGAGCGCAGCCAGAUAGGAUCGCAGCAAAGAUAGCCCACGUUGGCGCUGCUAAAACUAAACUGUGGGAUCGCUGUCAACUAUCCUGUUCGUUGGAGAGUUGCCGGUUAAAACAAAUAGCGAAACUAAGCAUGUAGAUCUGAUGGCAGAGUGCCGGCGGACGCGGGUUCAACUCCCGCCGUCUCCACCA